UGCUGUGGUGCGACUUCACGGAAGGGCCGUAUUUAUUAGAUAACAGCCAAUAAGACUCGCGUCUAUUGUGGUGACUCAUAGUAACUGAUCGGAUCGCAUGGGCCUGUCCCGCGACAAACCAUUCAAGUUUCUGCCCCAUCAGCUUUCGAUGGUAGUGUAUUGGACUACCAUGGCUUUUACGGGUAACGGAGGAUUAGGGUUCGAUUCCGGAGAGGGAGCCUGAGAAACGGCUACCACAUCCAAGGAAGGCAGCAGGCGCGUAAAUUACCCAAUCCUGACUCAGGGAGGUAGUGACAAGAAAUAACGGG
This 308-nucleotide ribosomal RNA is filed under the name uncultured Spirotrichea. RNAcentral's name for it is "SSU rRNA". It matches the Rfam family "Eukaryotic small subunit ribosomal RNA", at positions 174 to 484 of the family's 1831-position model. Lineage: Eukaryota; Ciliophora; Spirotrichea. The record is from RNAcentral.